RNAcentral lists this transfer RNA (71 nucleotides) under Scedosporium apiospermum. Lineage: Eukaryota; Fungi; Ascomycota; Sordariomycetes; Microascales; Microascaceae. The record is from Rfam by way of RNAcentral.
GUAAUUAUAAGUUAAUAGUAAACUUGUUAUCUUCUAUAUAAAGAUUAUUAGUUUAAGUCUAAUUAAUUAUA